UCUCCCCUGUGAUGUUUGACAGCCAUUCGUUUUAAACCCACAUUUUGUUUUCGGGAUUCCGAAUACUUUCCCGUUCCAAGUGCAGGCCUCCCGUGAAUCAAAAACGGAAGUUGGAAGCACAGCGGUGCGAGAUAGGAAACCCACCUGCUCAGUCGUGCAGGUUAUUUUAAUGGGUGGCAUCGGCAUUGCGGGGGUUAC
RNAcentral lists this non-coding RNA (198 nucleotides) under Butyricicoccus pullicaecorum. RNAcentral describes it as "6S RNA". It matches the Rfam family "6S / SsrS RNA". From Rfam's summary of the family: E. coli 6S RNA was the first non coding RNA to be sequenced, but its function was unknown until recently. Lineage: Bacteria; Bacillati; Bacillota; Clostridia; Eubacteriales; Butyricicoccaceae. The record is from RNAcentral. RNAcentral also lists the same sequence under 1 other name.